GACGAACGCUGGCGGCGUGCUUAACACAUGCAAGUCGAACGGAAAGGCCUGCUUUCCCUUGUGGAUUGCGGGUACUCGAGUGGCGAACGGGUGAGUAACACGUGAGUGAUCUGCCCCCAACUUGGGUAUAAGCCUGGGAAACUGGGUCUAAUUCCCGAUAGGACUGCAGGGUGGUGCCUGUGGUGGAAAACGAUUUUCUAGUGGUUGGGGAUGAGCUCGCGGCCUAUCAGCUUGUUGGUGGGGUAAUGGCCUACCAAGGCGGCGACGGGUAGCCGGCCUGAGAGGGUGGACGGCAACAUUGGGACUGAGAUACGGCCCAGACUCCUACGGGAGGCAGCAGUGGGGAUUAUUGCCCAAUGGGCGGAAGCCUGAUGCAGCGACGCCGCGUGGGGGAUGACGGCCUUCGGGUUGUAAACUCCUUUCGACCGCGAGGAAGCCACCUGGUUGGAAGGGUGGUGACGGUAGUGGUAGAAGAAGCACCGGCUAACUACGUG
This 494-nucleotide ribosomal RNA is filed under the name uncultured bacterium. RNAcentral's name for it is "partial 16S ribosomal RNA". It matches the Rfam family "Bacterial small subunit ribosomal RNA", at positions 28 to 507 of the family's 1533-position model. The record is from RNAcentral.